RNAcentral lists this long non-coding RNA (275 nucleotides) under Vigna radiata. RNAcentral's name for it is "long non-coding RNA (VRAD_LNC005109)". The record is from RNAcentral. Lineage: Eukaryota; Viridiplantae; Streptophyta; Magnoliopsida; Fabales; Fabaceae.
AAAAAAAAAAGAAAAAAAAAGAGAGCAGAAAAACAGUGAAAAAUGAAAAAAAAAUUGUGAAUAAUUGUGAAUAAUGGAGUCAAGAAGAGGAUGGAAUUAGAGGUUGUGGGUGUGUUUGAAUGUGUUUACACUUGUUCCCCAUUGCUCCUCUGUUCCUUAUGGUUUGUAACUUCUUAUCCAGAUAUAUCCUCCCUUGUCCUUGGUCCCAUUAUAACCAUGAAAAGACCUUUUGAUUUGAACAUGCGUAUGUGCUUGAGUGUUGAUAUUAGAGGCUU